AUGUUUCUCCUGAUCCUGUCCAUUCGAAACACAAGCAAAAACAAGUCAAAUUUUGUGUAUGCAAAGUCUGCACUGCACACUCAAAAUCAGAACAAUUUAUUUCUCAUUUAUUCAUCGCCAAAUCUGUUUGACGAUUACACAAGUACAGACACAACAGGGAGAAGAAACGCAAUACAAGUACAGAUGCCUCGCCACACUCGAUCAGCAAGAACAAGACACAACUAUAGCAUACUUUUAGGCUGCAGAACUCGCACACACAUGAACCAGACUGGGUCCGACCCGAGUACUCAACCGGAGAUCUCGAUGGCCUUCACCUCGGGCUUCUUGACCUCGGCCUUGGGCACGGUGACGGUGAGCACGCCGUUCUCCAGCCCGGCCUUCACCUCCUCCACCUUGGCGUCCUCGGGGAGGCGGAAGCGCCGCACGAACUUGCCGCUGCUGCGCUCCAUGCGGUGCCACUUGUCGUUCUUGUCCUCCUUCUCCUUUGUGCGCUCGCCACUGACGACGAGCACGUUGCCGUCCUCCACCUCCACCUUGACCUCCUCCUUCUUCACUCCUGGAAGGUCGGCCUUGAAGACGUGCGCCUCGGGAGUCUCCUUCCAGUCCACGCGAGCGUUGGCGAACGCGGCCGUCUCGCUGUUGCCGCCUGAGAUCGCCGGGACGAUGGAGCGGAAGGUGUCGAAGGGGUCCGCCCAGAGGUCGGCGAAGGGGUCGAACACGUUGCUCCGCCUCACGAUCGACAUUGUCGGUGUUGCUUGCUUUGGCUUGUAG
RNAcentral lists this ribosomal RNA (771 nucleotides) under Triticum aestivum (bread wheat). Its description in RNAcentral is "partial small subunit ribosomal RNA". The record is from RNAcentral. Lineage: Eukaryota; Viridiplantae; Streptophyta; Magnoliopsida; Poales; Poaceae.